Molecule: ribosomal RNA, 480 nt
Filed under: Haplonyx maximus
Lineage: Eukaryota; Metazoa; Arthropoda; Insecta; Coleoptera; Curculionidae
Description: partial 16S ribosomal RNA
Rfam family: Bacterial large subunit ribosomal RNA
Source: RNAcentral
CUUUUUGAUUAUGAUUUAAGGUCGGACCUGCCCAAUGAUGUAAAWGUUAAAYGGCCGCGGUAUUUUGACCGUGCAAAGGUAGCAUAAUCACUAGUUUUUUAAUUGAAAGCUGGWAUGAAAGGUUUAAYGAGAAAAUAACUGUCUCUACUUAAAUUAUAUAGAAUUUUAUUUUUAAGUUAAAAAGCUUAAAUAUUUAUAAAAGACGAGAAGACCCUGUAGAGUUUUAUAUUUUAGUGAUUUUAUGAAUUUAGUAUUUUAUGAUUAAAUAUUAUUAAAGUAUUUAGUUGGGGUGAUUGAAAAAUUAAAUAAACUUUUUUUUUAUUAGAACAUUGAUUAAUGAGUAUAUGAUCCUUUUUUUAAAGAUUAAAAGAUUAAAUUACCUUAGGGAUAACAGCGUAAUUCUUUUUUAGAGCCCAAAUCAAUGAAAGAGAUUGCGACCUCGAUGUUGGAUUAAAAUAAAAUUUUGAUGUAGCAGUUAAA